CAGAGAAUCGGCCGUUUGCUCAUUGCAGCAUGCGAAUUGACGCUGGGAGAUCCGAGUUUUUUUCAUGUUUAGCAGCUACUAAUCGGAAAAAAGGAUCGUUAAUUCAUUCAAUUGCACAUUUCCAGCUCCAAUUUUGAUCGGAAAACAGUUUGAUUGCCGGAAUCGCAGGAGAUUAGUGGCUGGCCAUGUAGCAUCAUUUUCCAUCAGAUGUGAUUUUCACGGCAUUUUUGUUUCGAAUUCAGUAAAGCAGCGGUUCGGAUGCAUGAUUCAGAUCAGAUCCGUUCGAUUAGUUUGAAGCGUUUGUGAGUAAUUGGUUGCUGGAUUACGAUCUUCGUUAGUUUUUGAUCGCGAAAAAUGGCGUCACCUGACAAGCAGGGCGCUUUGGAUUACAUCAAUCAGAUGUUCCCCACUGAGGCCUCUCUAUCUGGUGUUGAGCCCCUUAUGCAGAAAAUACACAGUGAAAUCCGGAGAGUGGAUGCCGAGAUUUUGUCUGCUGUUCGUCAGCAGAGUAAUUCAGGGAGCAAGGCCAAGGAGGACCUUGCAGCAGCUACUCGUGCUGUUCAGGAACUCUUGUACAAAAUGCAAGAAAUAAAAACUAAAGCAGAGCAAAGUGAAACAAUGGUUCAGGAAAUAUGCCGUGACAUCAAGAAACUGGAUUUUGCAAAGAAGCAUAUAACUACUACGAUUACUGCCCUUCAUCGUCUUACUAUGCUAGUAUCUGCUGUAGAACAACUUCAAGCUAUGGCUUCUAAAAGACAAUACAAGGAGGCAGCUGCACAGCUUGAGGCUGUCAACCAGUUAUGCAGUCAUUUUGAGGCUUAUAGAGAUUUUCAGAAGAUUGCGGAGCUACGAGAGAAGUUCAAGAGUAUCAAACAAAUUUUGAAGUCUCAUGUGUUCUCAGAUUUCUCUAGCUUAGGUACAGGAAAAGAGACAGAGGAAUCUUAUUUACUGCAGCAACUAUCUGACGCAUGCCUAGUUGUUGAUGCCCUUGAACCAUCAGUUAGGGAAGAGUUAGUAAAGAACUUCUGUAGUAGAGAGCUUACUUCAUAUCAGCAAAUUUUUGAGGGAGCAGAAUUGGCGAAGUUGGAUAAAACAGAAAGACGAUAUGCUUGGAUCAAGCGCCGCCUAAGAACCAAUGAGGAGAUUUGGAAACUUUUCCCCUUGUCAUGGCAUGUCCCUUAUCUGCUUUGCAUCCAGUUCUGCAAGUUGACGAGGACACAAUUGGUGGACAUCCUCGAUAAUCUCAAAGAAAAACCAGAUGUUGGAACAUUGUUGCUGGCUUUACAACGGACUUUGGAGUUUGAGGAAGAAUUAGCAGAGAAAUUCGGUGAUGGAAGUCGCAGCAAAGAAUUAGGAAGUGACACUGGGGAAGAUACAGCUGAGAGUAGCAGUCAGAAUAUUUCAGACAUUCGAAAGAAGUAUGAGAAAAGGCUUGCAGCACAUCAUGGAAAUGAGAAUGAGGAUCAAGAUGGCCACAAAGAUCUGUCUGUGCCUGAUGCUGGGUUCAAUUUUAGAGGGAUCAUUUCAUCGUGCUUUGAACCUUACUUGGCGGUCUAUGUUGAACUGGAGGAAAGAACUCUUAUGGAGCAUUUGGAGAAACUUGUCCAGGAAGAAACAUGGGAAACUGAAGAGGGAAGUCAAACUAAUAUUUUAUCUAGCAGUAUGCAGGUGUUUUUGAUCAUCAGAAGGACGUUAAAGAGAUGCAGUGCUCUGACAAAAAAGCAGACAUUGUUUAAUUUAUUCAAGGUAUUCCAAAGAAUUCUUAAAGCAUAUGCUACAAAGCUUUUCUUAAGAUUGCCAAAGGGUGGCACCGGACAUGUAGCUACAAAGACAUCUGACAAGGAUGAACGCUUGAUCUGCUAUAUAGUCAAUACAGCUGAAUAUUGUCACAAGACGUCAGGUGAAUUAGCUGAAAAUGUAUCCAAAAUAGUUGAUCCUCAAUAUGCUGAUAGCAUCGACAUGUCUGAAGUACAGGAUGAGUUCUCAGCAGUCAUAACAAAAGCGCUGAUAACUCUUGUGCAUGGUAUAGAAACAAAGUUCGACUAUGAAAUGGCUGCAAUGACACGUGUUCCUUGGGGCACACUUGAAAGUGUUGGUGACCAAUCGGAAUAUGUAAAUGGCAUAAAUACAAUUCUUACUUCAAGCAUUCCUGUACUUGGAAGGCUUCUUUCUCCUAUAUAUUUCCAGUUCUUCCUCGAUAAGCUUGCAUCAUCUCUUGGUCCGCGCUUCUAUCUCAACAUCUUCAAAUGCAAGCAAAUCUCCGAAACAGGAGCACAACAAAUGCUGCUGGAUACACAAGCUGUCAAAACAAUCCUUCUGGAAAUUCCUUCCCGUGGAAAACAGGUAUCUGCUGCUGGCGGCUACUCAAAAUUUGUAAGCCGUGAAAUGAGCAAAGCUGAAGCACUGCUGAAAGUCAUAUUGUCCCCUAUCGACUCUGUGGCUGAUACAUAUUGUGCUCUACUGCCCGAGGGUACUCCUUCAGAGUUCCAGCGAAUUCUGGAUCUUAAGGGCCUCAAACGGACUGACCAGCAAAGCAUACUAGAUGAUUACAAGAAGCGUGGGGCAGGGACGUAUCAACAAUCCAUCAAGGCAGCCGUUGUUCCAUCUGCACCUAGCUCUACGGUGGCACCUAUUCUACCUACACCUGCUGGAAUCAUUCCACUGAAGGAAGAGUUGGCAAGGGCUGCUGCACUAGGGAGAGGUGCUGCCACAACUGGAAUCCGCAGAAUCCUUGCAUUAACCGAGUCAACUACCAAAGAUCGCAAAGAUGGACCUCUGAGAAAACUUUUCAUUGGAUGACCGGAUACAGAAUUCGCCCUACUCUGGUUAGGAUUCGUCCCUUUUUCUCGAGUAUUAAUGACAUUAAUCAGGGUGAUUAGGUCUUAACUACAGUAUUAAAUUGAUUGGUUUGCAGUUUUAUUAUUACAUGAAUAAGGCUCGGGCCUGAAGUCGUUUCGAGAGCCCGUUAAAAAUUUGACUUGGAGCAUCUGCAACAGCACCCUUCCCGAUGGGUUUUCCCGUCCUACCGGGACGGGUGGUCGACAGGUUGCCGUUGCAGGCACCUCGUCCCGCCGAGGAGCCCUCCAUUUCGGACUGAGCUCGUUCUGAUGGGACAUGCACCCGUCCACAUGGCGCAUUCUAAGUCAUACAUUUUUCAAGAGUAGGUCACAUUUGGAACUCCCUCGGUUUGUUUACCACUAUUUAGUUACAAUUAACCCUAAAAGUGAUACUCAUACUUUGAAAGUGGAAUA
Molecule: RNA transcript, 3251 nt
Organism: Salvia hispanica
Lineage: Eukaryota; Viridiplantae; Streptophyta; Magnoliopsida; Lamiales; Lamiaceae
Gene name: vacuolar protein sorting-associated protein 53 A-like
Source: RefSeq, a predicted model, not a curated record